Molecule: ribosomal RNA, 503 nt
Filed under: uncultured bacterium
Lineage: Bacteria
Description: partial 16S ribosomal RNA
Rfam family: Bacterial small subunit ribosomal RNA
Source: RNAcentral
GAUGAACGCUAGCGGCUGGCCUAACACAUGCAAGUCGAGGGGUAGCAGGAUUAAGCUUGCUUAAUUGCUGACGACCGGCGCACGGGUGCGUAACGCGUAUGCAACCUACCUUAUACUGGGGUAUAGCCCGGAGAAAUUCGGAUUAAUCCCCCAUGGUACUAAUGAAUCGCAUGGUUUAUUAGUUAAAGCAUUGCGGUAUAAGAUGGGCAUGCGUCCUAUUAGCUAGAUGGUGAGGUAACGGCUCACCAUGGCUACGAUAGGUAGGGGGCCUGAGAGGGUGGUACCCCACACUGGUACUGAGACACGGACCAGACUCCUACGGGAGGCAGCAGUGAGGAAUAUUGGUCAAUGGGCGCAAGCCUGAACCAGCCAUGCCGCGUGCAGGAAGAAUGCCCUAUGGGUUGUAAACUGCUUUUAUUUGGGAAUAAACCUCUUUACGUGUAGAGAGCUGAAGGUACCAAAUGAAUAAGCACCGGCUAACUCCGUGCCAGCAGCCGCGGUAA